This 490-nucleotide ribosomal RNA is filed under the name uncultured bacterium. Its description in RNAcentral is "partial 16S ribosomal RNA". It matches the Rfam family "Bacterial small subunit ribosomal RNA", at positions 28 to 507 of the family's 1533-position model. The record is from RNAcentral.
GAUGAACGCUAGCUACAGGCUUAACACAUGCAAGUCGAGGGGAAACGAUGAGAGAGCUUGCUCUCUUAGGCGUCGACCGGCGCACGGGUGAGUAACGCGUAUCCAACCUACCCAUUACAGGGGGAUAACCUUGCGAAAGUAAGACUAAUACCCCAUGGCAUUUUAUGGUGGCAUCAUUAUAGGAUUAAAGAUUUAUUGGUAAUGGAUGGGGAUGCGUCUGAUUAGCUUGUUGGCGGGGUAACGGCCCACCAAGGCAACGAUCAGUAGGGGUUCUGAGAGGAACGUCCCCCACAUUGGAACUGAGACACGGUCCAAACUCCUACGGGAGGCAGCAGUGAGGAAUAUUGGUCAAUGGGCGAGAGCUUGAACCAGCCAAGUAGCGUGCAGGAUGACGGCCCUAUGGGUUGUAAACUGCUUUUAUAGGGGAAUAAAGUGAGCUACGUGUAGUUUAUUGCAUGUACCCUAUGAAUAAGGACCGGCUAAUUCCGUG